CGGACGGGUGAGUAAUGUCUGGGAAACUGCCUGAUGGAGGGGGAUAACUACUGGAAACGGUAGCUAAUACCGCAUAACGUCGCAAGACCAAAGAGGGGGACCUUCGGGCCUCUUGCCAUCGGAUGUGCCCAGAUGGGAUUAGCUAGUAGGUGGGGUAACGGCUCACCUAGGCGACGAUCCCUAGCUGGUCUGAGAGGAUGACCAGCCACACUGGAACUGAGACACGGUCCAGACUCCUACGGAAGGCAGCAG
RNAcentral lists this ribosomal RNA (252 nucleotides) under uncultured bacterium. RNAcentral describes it as "partial 16S ribosomal RNA". It matches the Rfam family "Bacterial small subunit ribosomal RNA", at positions 99 to 354 of the family's 1533-position model. The record is from RNAcentral.